This 345-nucleotide ribosomal RNA is filed under the name uncultured bacterium. RNAcentral describes it as "bacterial SSU rRNA". It matches the Rfam family "Bacterial small subunit ribosomal RNA", at positions 8 to 334 of the family's 1533-position model. The record is from RNAcentral.
AGAGUUUGAUUCUGGCUCAGGACGAACGCUGGCGGCGUGCCUAACACAUGCAAGUCGAACGGAGCUGUUUUGACUGAUCCCUUCGGGGUGACGAUGAUUCAGCUUAGUGGCGGACGGGUGAGUAACGCGUGAGCAACCUGCCUUUCAGUGGGGGACAACAGUUGGAAACGACUGCUAAUACCGCAUAAUAUCCUUUUGGGGCAUCCCUUUUGGAUCAAAGAUUUAUUGCUGAAAGAUGGGCUCGCGUCUGAUUAGCUAGUUGGUGGGGUAACGGCCCACCAAGGCGACGAUCAGUAGCCGGACUGAGAGGUUGAACGGCCACAUUGGGACUGAGAUACGGCCCAG